AGAGUUUGAUCAUGGCUCAGGAUGAACGCUAGCGGCAGGCUUAAUACAUGCAAGUCGAGGGGCAGCACAGGUAGCAAUACUGGGUGGCGACCGGCAAACGGGUGCGGAACACGUACGCAACCUUCCUUUAAGCGGAGAAUAGCCCAGGGAAACUUGGAUUAAUACUCCAUAAGAUUAUGGUGUGGCAUCACACAGUAAUUAAAGCUCCGGCACUUAAAGAUGGGCGUGCGGCUGAUUAGGUAGUUGGCGGGGUAACGGCCCACCAAGCCAACGAUCAGUAACUGGUGUGAGAGCACGACCAGUCACACGGGCACUGAGACACGGGCCCGACUCCUACGGGAGGCAGCAGUAAGGAAUAUUGGUCAAUGGACGCAAGUCUGAACCAGCCAUGCCGCGUGGAGGAUGAAGGCCCUCUGGGUUGUAAACUUCUUUUAUUUGGGAAGAAACCCAUCUUUUCUAAGGUGGUUGACGGUACCAGAUGAAUAAGCACCGGCUAACUCCGUGCCAGCAGCCGCGGUAAUACGGAGGGUGCAAGCGUUAUCCGGAUUCACUGGGUUUAAAGGGUGCGUAGGUGGGCAGGUAAGUCAGUGGUGAAAUCUCCGGGCUUAACCCGGAAACUGCCGUUGAUACUAUCUGUCUUGAAUGUAGUGGAGGUGAGCGGAAUAUGUCAUGUAGCGGUGAAAUGCUUAGAUAUGACAUAGAACACCCAUUGCGAAGGCAGCUCGCUACACUAUUAUUGACACUGAGGCACGAAAGCGUGGGGAUCAAACAGGAUUAGAUACCCUAGUAGUCC
This 793-nucleotide ribosomal RNA is filed under the name uncultured bacterium. Its description in RNAcentral is "bacterial SSU rRNA". It matches the Rfam family "Bacterial small subunit ribosomal RNA", at positions 8 to 796 of the family's 1533-position model. The record is from RNAcentral.